RNAcentral lists this ribosomal RNA (254 nucleotides) under uncultured bacterium. RNAcentral's name for it is "partial 16S ribosomal RNA". It matches the Rfam family "Bacterial small subunit ribosomal RNA", at positions 524 to 776 of the family's 1533-position model. The record is from RNAcentral.
UACAGAGGUCUCAAGCGUUGUUCGGAUUCAUUGGGCGUAAAGCGCGCGCAGGCGGUUCCUGUAAGUCUGGGGGGAAAUCUCACCGCUCAACGGUGAGGCUGCUCUGGAUACUGCGGACCUGGAGACCGGUAGAGGCUGGUAGAAUUCCUGGUGUAGCGGUGAAAUGCGUAGAGAUCAGGAAGAACACCGGUGGCGAAAGCGCUCUGCUAGGCCGCAACUGACACUGAGGGACGAAAGCUAGGGGAGCGAAUGGG